RNAcentral lists this ribosomal RNA (254 nucleotides) under uncultured bacterium. Its description in RNAcentral is "partial small subunit ribosomal RNA". It matches the Rfam family "Bacterial small subunit ribosomal RNA", at positions 26 to 285 of the family's 1533-position model. The record is from RNAcentral.
AGGACGAACGCUGGCGGCGUGCUUAACACAUGCAAGUCGAGCGGAAAGGCCCUUCGGGGUACUCGAGCGGCGAACGGGUGAGUAACACGUGAGCAACCUGCCCUUAGCUUCGGGAUAGCUCCGGGAAACCGGAAUUAAUACCGAAUAUGACUGCGGCUGACAUCAGCCACAGUGGAAAGUUUUUCGGCUAGGGAUGGACUCGCGGCCUAUCAGCUAGUUGGUGAGGUAACGGCCCACCAAGGCGACGACGGGUA